Molecule: transfer RNA, 73 nt
Filed under: Planctomycetaceae bacterium
Lineage: Bacteria; Pseudomonadati; Planctomycetota; Planctomycetia; Planctomycetales; Planctomycetaceae
Description: tRNA-Glu
Rfam family: tRNA
About the family: Transfer RNA (tRNA) molecules are approximately 80 nucleotides in length. Their secondary structure includes four short double-helical elements and three loops (D, anti-codon, and T loops).
Source: RNAcentral
CGCCCGUUCGUCUAGCGGACGAGGAUACUGCUCUUUCAAGGCCAGGAGGAGGGUUCGACUCCCUCACGGGCGA